GAUGAACGCUGGCGGCGUGCCUAAUACAUGCAAGUCGAGCGAACAGACGAGGAGCUUGCUCCUCUGACGUUAGCGGCGGACGGGUGAGUAACACGUGGAUAACCUACCUAUAAGACUGGGAUAACUUCGGGAAACCGGAGCUAAUACCGGAUAAUAUAUUGAACCGCAUGGUUCAAUAGUGAAAGACGGUUUUGCUGUCACUUAUAGAUGGAUCCGCGCCGCAUUAGCUAGUUGGUAAGGUAACGGCUUACCAAGGCAACGAUGCGUAGCCGACCUGAGAGGGUGAUCGGCCACACUGGAACUGAGACACGGUCCAGACUCCUACGGGAGGCAGCAGUAGGGAAUCUUCCGCAAUGGGCGAAAGCCUGACGGAGCAACGCCGCGUGAGGGAUGAAGGUCUUCGGAUCGUAAAACGCUGUUAGUAGGGAAGAACAAAUGUGUAAGUAACUAUGCACGUCUUGACGGUACCUAAUCAGAAAGCCACGGCUAACUACGUG
This 497-nucleotide ribosomal RNA is filed under the name uncultured bacterium. RNAcentral describes it as "partial 16S ribosomal RNA". It matches the Rfam family "Bacterial small subunit ribosomal RNA", at positions 28 to 507 of the family's 1533-position model. The record is from RNAcentral.